ACCCGCUGAACUUAAGCAUAUCAAUAAGCGGAGGAAAAGAAACUAACAAGGAUUCCCCUAGUAACGGCGAGUGAAGCGGGAACAGCUCAAAUUUGAAAUCUCAUGGGGUCACCCGUGCGAAUUGUAGUUUAGAGAAACGUUUUCGGGUGAAGCCUGGGCAUAAGUCCUUUGGAACGAGGCAUCAUAGAGGGUGAGAAUCCCGUCUUUGGCUCAGUGUCUUCAUCUGUGUGAUACGUUUUCUACGAGUCGGUUUGUUUGGGAAUGCAGACCAAAAUGGGUGGUAAAUACCAUCUAAAGCUAAAUAUUGGCGAGAGACCGAUAGCGAACAAGUACCGUGAGGGAAAGAUGAAAAGAACCUUGAAAAGAGAGUUAAACAGUACGUGAAAUUGUCAAAAGGGAAACGCUUGGAACCAGUAUUGCUUGCAGGUAAUCAGCCGUGCCUUCAGCGCGGUGCACUUGCCUGUUGGCAGGUCAACAUCAGUUUGACUUGGGGUAAAAAGCCGGAGGAAGGUGGCCAGGAGUUCGCUCUUGGUGUUAUAGCCUCCGGUCAUGCCUUGGGUUGGACUGAGGACUGCAGCGUUUUUUGGGUACCCAGUCGCCUCCUG
This 605-nucleotide ribosomal RNA is filed under the name uncultured fungus. Its description in RNAcentral is "eukaryotic LSU rRNA". It matches the Rfam family "Eukaryotic large subunit ribosomal RNA", at positions 23 to 621 of the family's 3401-position model. The record is from RNAcentral. Lineage: Eukaryota; Fungi.